AGGUUUCCGUAGGUGAACCUGCGGAAGGAUCAUUUCUGAAGGCUUUUUGCCNAAACCACUGUGAACAGCUUAGACUUCGGUCUUUGCAAUUGCUUGGGUGUCGAAAGGCGCCCAAUCUUUAAAACUUUUAUAUUUGUUCUGAAACAAUGAAAAUUUAAAACUUUCAACAACGGAUCUCUUGGUUCUCGUAUCGAUGAAGAACGCAGCAAAGCGCGAUAGGUAAUGCGAAUUGCAGACGUGAGUCAUUGAAUUUUUGAACGCAUAUUGCGCUAUUAGUUUGUCUAAUAGCAUGCUUGUUGGAGUGAUAAUCUUCCUCUCAACCAUUUUUGGUAUGAGGUCUUGCUCCUUUUAGGAGUUAAAAUCAUGGAAGUGCACACGUUAAUUAACUCUGUGCAGUUAUACACUUUUCAUCCUCCAAUCAAGCAAGGUUACCCGCUGAACUUAAGCAUNNNAAUAA
This 457-nucleotide ribosomal RNA is filed under the name Starmerella bacillaris. RNAcentral describes it as "eukaryotic LSU rRNA". The stretch from base 159 to 307 matches the Rfam family "5.8S ribosomal RNA". The record is from RNAcentral. Lineage: Eukaryota; Fungi; Ascomycota; Dipodascomycetes; Dipodascales; Trichomonascaceae.